Molecule: non-coding RNA, 579 nt
Organism: Microcebus murinus (gray mouse lemur)
Lineage: Eukaryota; Metazoa; Chordata; Mammalia; Primates; Cheirogaleidae
Source: RefSeq, a predicted model, not a curated record
AAAAUCAAAUCAGAUAUUUUUUUCCUUACAGGUGAAAAUGUCUGCUGUCUAUUGAGUUCUUUUGUAUGUGUAAUGGGUACCUCCUAACAAUGAACUUGAUUUGUCAACAUAAACUGGAUUUCUAAACUGUACUAAAUAUAAAAUGUCCCCAAUAUUUUUGUUCAUGUAUAGAAACUUUUCUAUAUGUGAUCUACAUAAUAAGACAUGUUUCUUAUUUAUUUGCCUCUGACAGAAAACUGGCCUGAAAAACUGAAAGAACCUUCAAUUUGGGAGACAAGCUCAAGCAUGAACAAGUCAUAAUGAUCACACUAUUUUUGGAUGUGUCAUCUGGAAGCUUUCCCAGAAUUAGCUGAAAGAGCAUGAAAGCAAGAAAAAGUGUGGCGACUUUGGGAAGAACCAAGUUAUAAGGAAAUGAAGACCUACUCUGGAGUGAUGACAGUGAAAAGAAUGGAAUAAGCCUGAGAGAAAGUACAAAAGAAUUAGUGAGACUCAAUUACUGAUGGAGCUAGAGAUGAGGAAGGACUUGAUGAACCUAUGUAUGUAUUUCCUCAUCCAUUACAAUAAAGAAAACGAAUUGUG